Molecule: ribosomal RNA, 447 nt
Filed under: uncultured bacterium
Lineage: Bacteria
Description: SSU rRNA
Rfam family: Bacterial small subunit ribosomal RNA
Source: RNAcentral
AGAGCGAACGCUGGCGGCAGGCCUAACACAUGCAAGUCGAGCGCGUGUAGCAAUACACGAGCGGCAGACGGGAGAGUAACACGUGGGAACGCGCCCUUCGGUUCGGAAUAACUCAGGGAAACUUGAGCUAAUACCGGAUACGCCCUUACGGGGAAAGAUUUAUUGCCGAAGGAACGGCCCGCGUCCGAUUAGCUAGUUGGUGAGGUAACGGCUCACCAAGGCGACGAUCGGUAGCUGGUCUGAGAGGAUGACCAGCCUCACUGGGACUGAGACACGGCCCAGACUCCUACGGGAGGCAGCAGUGGGGAAUAUUGGACAAUGGGCGCAAGCCUGAUCCAGCCAUGCCGCGUGGAUGAUGAAGGCCUUAGGGUUGUAAAGUCCUUUUAACGGGGAAGAUAAUGACGGUACCCGUAGAAUAAGCCCGGCUAACUUCGUACCAGCAGCCGC